Molecule: transfer RNA, 71 nt
Filed under: Marmota monax (woodchuck)
Lineage: Eukaryota; Metazoa; Chordata; Mammalia; Rodentia; Sciuridae
Description: tRNA.Ala
Source: RNAcentral
GGGGUUGUGGCUCAGCGGCAGAGCGCAUGCCUCGCACAUAUGAGGAACUGGGUUGGAUCCUCAGCACCGCA